This 457-nucleotide ribosomal RNA is filed under the name uncultured bacterium. RNAcentral's name for it is "partial 16S ribosomal RNA". It matches the Rfam family "Bacterial small subunit ribosomal RNA", at positions 338 to 795 of the family's 1533-position model. The record is from RNAcentral.
CCUACGGGCGGCAGCAGUGGGGAAUAUUGCACAAUGGGGGAAACCCUGAUGCAGCGACGCCGCGUGAGUGAAGAAGUAUUUCGGUACGUAAAGCUCUAUCAGCAGGGAAGAAAAAAAGUCCUUUGGACUUUGGACGGUACCUGACUAAGAAGCCCCGACUAACUACGUGACAGCGGCCGCGGUAAAACGUAGGGGGCAAGCGUUAUCCGGUUUUACUGGGUGGAAAGGGGGCGUAGGCGGCGAUGCAAGCCAGGAGUGAAAGCCCGGGGUCCAACCCCGGGACUGCGCUUGAAACUGGGUGGCUGGAGUGCAGGAGGGGCAAGCGGAAUUCCUGGUGUAGCGGUGAAAUGCGUAGAUAUCAGGAGGAACACCGGUGGCGAAGGCGGCCUGCUGGACUGCAACUGACGUUGAGGCCCGAAAGCGUGGGGAGCAAACAGGAUUAGAUACCCCUGUAGUC